This 445-nucleotide ribosomal RNA is filed under the name uncultured bacterium. RNAcentral describes it as "bacterial SSU rRNA". It matches the Rfam family "Bacterial small subunit ribosomal RNA", at positions 354 to 796 of the family's 1533-position model. The record is from RNAcentral.
GUAAGGAAUAUUGGACAAUGGACGCAAGUCUGAUCCAGCCAUGCCGCGUGAAGGAUUAAGGUCCUCUGGAUUGUAAACUUCUUUUAUAAGGGACGAAAAAAGGCUUUUCUAAGUCGUCUGACGGUACCUUAUGAAUAAGCACCGGCUAACUCCGUGCCAGCAGCCGCGGUAAUAAGGAGGGUGCAAGCGUUAUCCGGAUUCACUGGUUUUAAAGGGUUCGUAGGCGGGCAGGUAAGUCAGUGGUGAAAUCCUAGAGCUUAACUCUAGAACUGCCAUUGAUACUAUCUGUCUUGAAUAUUGUGGAGGUAAGCGGAAUAUGUCAUGUAGCGGUGAAAUGCUUAGAUAUGACAUAGAACACCUAUUGCGAAGGCAGCUUACUACGCAUAUAUUGACGCUGAGGCACGAAAGCGUGGGGAUCAAACAGGAUUAGAAACCCGGGUAGUCC